RNAcentral lists this ribosomal RNA (317 nucleotides) under uncultured bacterium. RNAcentral's name for it is "bacterial SSU rRNA". It matches the Rfam family "Bacterial small subunit ribosomal RNA", at positions 8 to 334 of the family's 1533-position model. The record is from RNAcentral.
AGGGUUUGAUUAUGGCUCAGAACGAACGCUGGCGGCGUGGAUAAGACAUGCAAGUCGAACGAGAGAAUUGCUAGCUUGCUAAUAAUUCUCUAGUGGCGCACGGGUGAGUAACACGUGAGUAACCUGCCCCCGAGAGCGGGAUAGCCCUGGGAAACUGGGAUUAAUACCGCAUAGUAUCGAAAGAUUAAAGCAGCAAUGCGCUUGGGGAUGGGCUCGCGGCCUAUUAGUUAGUUGGUGAGGUAACGGCUCACCAAGGCGAUGACGGGUAGCCGGUCUGAGAGGAUGUCCGGCCACACUGGAACUGAGACACGGUCCAG